AUACGGAGGAUGCGAGCGUUAUCCGGAUUUAUUGGGUUUAAAGGGUGCGCAGGCGGCCAUUUAAGUCAGCGGUUAAAUCGUGGGGCUCAACCCCAUUCUGCCGUUGAUACUGGGUGGCUUGAUUGCGGUCGAGGUUGGCGGAAUUCGUUGUGUAGCGGGGAAAUGCAUAGAUAUGACGAAGAACACCGAGUGCGUAGGCAGCUGACCAGACCGCAAAUGACGCUCAUGCACGAAAGUGCGGGGAUCGAACAGGAUUAGAUACCCUGGUAGUCCGCACAGUAAACGAUGAAUACUUGUUUUCGGCGAUAUAAUGUCGGAGGCAAAGCGAAAGCGAUAAGUAUUCCACCUGGGGAGUACGCCGGCAACGGUGAAACUCAAAUGAAUUGACGGGG
RNAcentral lists this ribosomal RNA (392 nucleotides) under uncultured bacterium. RNAcentral's name for it is "partial 16S ribosomal RNA". It matches the Rfam family "Bacterial small subunit ribosomal RNA", at positions 523 to 918 of the family's 1533-position model. The record is from RNAcentral.